RNAcentral lists this ribosomal RNA (827 nucleotides) under uncultured organism. Its description in RNAcentral is "bacterial SSU rRNA". It matches the Rfam family "Bacterial small subunit ribosomal RNA", at positions 18 to 842 of the family's 1533-position model. The record is from RNAcentral.
CCUGGCUCAGGAUGAACGCUAGCGGCAGGCUUAACACAUGCAAGUCGAGGGGUAACAGGUCACUUCGGUGAUGCUGACGACCGGCGCACGGGUGAGUAACGCGUAUGGAACCUACCUGAAACAGGGGGAUAGCUUCCGGAAACGGGGAUUAAUACCGCAUACGAUUCAUUUGUGGCCUCACAAAUGGAUAAAAGCUACGGCGGUUUCAGAUGGCCAUGCGUACCAUUAGUUAGUUGGUGAGGUAAAGGCUCACCAAGGCGAUGAUGGUUAGGGGUCCUGAGAGGGUAGUCCCCCACACUGGUACUGAGACACGGACCAGACUCCUACGGGAGGCAGCAGUGAGGAAUAUUGGUCAAUGGGCGCUAGCCUGAACCAGCCAUGCCGCGUGCAGGAAGACGGCCCUACGGGUUGUAAACUGCUUUUCUGCAGGAAGAAUAUAUAGUCUUAGGGGUAUAUUGACGGUACUGCAGGAAUAAGCAUCGGCUAACUCCGUGCCAGCAGCCGCGGUAAUACGGAGGAUGCAAGCGUUAUCCGGAUUCAUUGGGUUUAAAGGGUGCGCAGGCUGUAAAGCAAGUCAGUGGUGAAAGCCCUGGGCUUAACUCAGGGAUUGCCAUUGAAACUGUUUUACUAGAGUGUAGUAGAGGACGGCGGAAUGAGUUGUGUAGCGGUGAAAUGCAUAGAUAUAACUCAGAACACCUAUUGCGUAGGCAGCUGUCUAUACUACAACUGACGCUGAGGCACGAAAGCGUGGGGAGCGAACAGGAUUAGAUACCCUGGUAGUCCACGCUGUAAACGAUGAUCACUCGUUGUUGGCUACUUAGUAGUCA